RNAcentral lists this long non-coding RNA (1230 nucleotides) under Bos indicus x Bos taurus (hybrid cattle). RNAcentral describes it as "lncRNA (ENSBIXG00000027597.1)". Lineage: Eukaryota; Metazoa; Chordata; Mammalia; Artiodactyla; Bovidae. The record is from RNAcentral.
CCCCUGCAGCUCAGGGUGGUGGGGUGGGGGUGGGGGUGGGGUGCGGGGUGGGUGGGGGAGUGGUGGGGGUGGGUGGGUGGGGGUGGGGGGGUGGUGGGGGUGGGGUGGGUGGGGGUGGGGGUGUGGGGGUGUGGGGGUGUGGGGGUGUGGGGGUGGGGGGGAGGGCGGAGUCUGCGUUCUGACUUCUCCCGCUUAUGUUUUCUUGCUCCAGGAACUAGCCGCAUGGGCUCCAUGGGUCAGCCUUGCUGCUGGCACCCAGAGGCGCAGGGGACGCUCAGACGACAGAUGGCCCCACGAAGACCCAAACCGACCGUUUUCAACUCCAAUGCCGGCCUCAGUCUAGCAGUCUGUAGCCAGUGGGGGAAGCCACUCCUCCGCAGCCUAGGGGGGUCUCAGCCGCAAGCCCCGGGAUCCUGGAGCCUCCUUCCGGAACCCUUUCCUUAGGGGCCCUCGGGGCGGGGCAGGAAGGUCUGCAGUCGCGACUUUUCUUUUCUUUGCCCCCUCCUGGCUCAGGCGUCCCCAGGUCCGCACGCGGAGCCUCCGUCUGCCGCGGGGCGACCUGCCGGGUGCGGACAAUCAGAUCCUGAGCCUCACGCUCCACCGCGUGCGCUGCGCACCGGCUCGCGGCUCCUGCAAUCUGAGCACCGGCCGCCCGCAGGUCCCCGUCCGCUCUCACGCGCAGCCCGGUGGGGUUUGGGAAACCCGAGAGCAGAGCUAGGGGCUGGAGAUCAUCAGGAAGUCCUUGCGGCGGGCCCCGAAGGACCGGGUGGACAAGGAUGGACUGCGGGGUGUUUGCCCCGAGGCUUUCCCGGAAGCCAUCCUUCCACGACUGCGUGGGACCCCUGGACCCGCUCGGAGGACCGCGUCCUGCGGAGGCUGAAGGCGUUCCGGGGCCGAGAAAGGGCCCGCGCUGGGAUCCAACCAUCCCCCACCCCCAGCAUCUCCGCAUCUGCGCCCUCCGCGCCCCAACUCCUCUGCAGAAACCCACGCGGGCCGUGGGCGCCCUCGUGCGACAGAAGAAUUAACUAGCGCCGCCAGCACGAGGCGCAGGGUCUGUCCAGGGACCAUCAGGACCGCGAGUUUCAGGUGGAGACCCAGAGAGAGGUGGAGGCUGCAAUGAAAGUGUCAGGGUAUUGGGAUGUGACCUCAUUACCCAGGAAGAUGAAGGCAGAGACGGAAGGGGCCCCAGGAUUAAAAACUAACAUAUCCAUUUUGCAGCAGCUGGACAGU